This 953-nucleotide long non-coding RNA is filed under the name Homo sapiens (human). Its description in RNAcentral is "long independently transcribed non-coding RNA 2788 (LINC02788)". The record is from RNAcentral. Lineage: Eukaryota; Metazoa; Chordata; Mammalia; Primates; Hominidae.
AGACGAGGAGCAACCCCCAAACCCCGAGCCCCAGGCCACCGAGCGCAGGAACUGGGGAGGAGGAGCGGUUUUCGCCCCUGGGGGCGUUUAGUCAGAAAUGUUAGGAGAAGGUGCCUGAGGGAGGGGCCGCCAGUCGCAGCGGAGACUCCCCGUCCCCUCUCACCUCAGGGCUUCGGCGUUGGGGUCCGGCCUACAAUCUCUUCUUCUGCCCAAGCGAAAUCCAGGGGAGUGACACUGGAGGCGUCUGCACCCACAGGGGUCCAGAGAGGUGGGGUCCUGCUGUGUCUGCAAAAGAAAUGAAUUGCUGCUGUGGGAAGAAUAACAACUGUUUUUAGAAAAUGUUCAUAGCUGACCGAUUAAGCCAAUCUGUAGAACUCAAGUCAGCUUCUUCUUCUCCUUUAAGUCUCAGCUGGAGUUGAAUUUGAAUUAUUUCCUCAAAUUUUAAAUUGCUGGUUUUUGGAAAGCAAUGAGCACUGAAGGAUGCUAAAGGAAGAUGGCUUGCCACCUCCAAGGCUCUUAAACCAGAUGUGCUGUGGGUUCUGAAAGCAGUGCCCAACAAAGAGCUCCAGAAACGUUUUGAGCAAUGGCAGCAAUGGAAGCACCUACACAAUAAGUGACAGCCUUCCAAGAUGACUUGAUAGAUGAGAACACACUAAAAUGUUUGUGUAAGUUCUGGUGUAGUUGUUAACAUGCAGACAUUAGUUAGACCUUGGUUAUACCGUUUCAGCCCUCCAGCUGAGAGUUAGGGACAAAAUUAUUCCUAACAUAUUGUACUUCAAAAAAUGGUACAUCCUUUAGGUGCAUCUUGCAGAUUUCACACAAAAUGUUUUAAUAUUUAGGAUCUAGAUAUUGUUUUGAAUGAUUUCAAGCAUUAUCCAAGAAAGAUGAAAACUAUAACUGAGAUAAACAUAUUGAGUAUGUUUUUAUAUUUUUAUUAAACCAAUUAAUUUUAA